AACGCACAUUGCGCCCGCCAGUAUUCUGGCGGGCAUGCCUGUUCGAGCGUCAUUUCAACCCUCAAGCCCCCGGGCUUGGUGUUGGGGAUCGGCGUGCCCUCGCGGCGCGCCGUCCCCGAAAUCUAGUGGCGGUCUCGCUGUAGCUUCCUCUGCGUAGUAGCACACCUCGCACUGGAGAGCAGCGCGGCCACGCCGUUAAACCCCCCACUUCUGAAAGGUUGACCUCGGAUCAGGUAGGAAUACCCGCUGAACUUAA
Molecule: unclassified non-coding RNA, 256 nt
Filed under: uncultured Nectriaceae
Lineage: Eukaryota; Fungi; Ascomycota; Sordariomycetes; Hypocreales; Nectriaceae
Description: sequence contains ITS2
Rfam family: 5.8S ribosomal RNA (bases 1-52)
Source: RNAcentral